Molecule: ribosomal RNA, 466 nt
Filed under: uncultured bacterium
Lineage: Bacteria
Description: bacterial SSU rRNA
Rfam family: Bacterial small subunit ribosomal RNA
Source: RNAcentral
CCUACGGGUGGCAGCAGUGGGGAAUCUUGGUCAAUGGGCGCAAGCCUGAACCAGCGACGCCGCGUGAGUGAUGAAGGCCUUCGGGUUGUAAAGCUCUGUGGGGAGAGACGAAAACGUCGGGCGCGAACAGCUCCCGGCCUUGACGGUAUCUCCUUAGCAAGCACCGGCUAACUCUGUGCCAGCAGCCGCGGUAAGACAGAGGGUGCAAACGUUGCUCGGAAUUACUGGGCGUAAAGCGCGUGUAGGCGGACCGAUGUGUCAGGUGUGAAAUCCCCGGGCUCAACCCGGGAACUGCACUUGAAACUGUCGGCCUUGAGUACCGGAGAGGGUGGCGGAAUUCCUGGUGUAGAGGUGAAAUUCGUAGAUAUCAGGAGGAACACCGGUGGCGAAGGCGGCCACCUGGACGGUUACUGACGCUGAGACGCGAAAGCGUGGGGAGCAAACAGGAUUAGAUACCCGAGUAGUC